Molecule: non-coding RNA, 387 nt
Organism: Thunnus maccoyii (southern bluefin tuna)
Lineage: Eukaryota; Metazoa; Chordata; Actinopteri; Scombriformes; Scombridae
Source: the annotation of a RefSeq genome assembly
AUGACUUUGAUCUCCGUCCUCAUCUGGACUCUCCUCUGCUGCUGCUUCACAGAGUCCAGAGGCCAGGUCACAGUGACUCAGUCUGCAGCAGUGACAUCUGCUCUGGGAGGCUCCACAACCAUCAACUGUAAAACUAAUCCUGCUGUGUACAAAUAUUAUGGUUCUUUAGACUCCUUAGCCUGGUACCAACAGAAAGAUGGAGAAGCUCCUAAAGUCCUCAUUUACUGGGCUACCACUCGAGCAUCAGGGAUUCCAGAUCGUUUUUCAGGCAGCGGAUCAAACUCUGACUUCACUCUGACCAUCAGUGGAGUUCAGGCUGAAGAUUCAGCAGUUUAUUACUGUCAGAGUCUCCACUAUCCCAACAGUCAACUUGUGUUCACACAGUGA